AUGAGGGUUUCAAUUUUUCCACAAAAUGAAUAACACUUGUCAUUGUCUGUCUUUUCUAUUUUAACUGUCCUAGAAUAAGCAUAAGGAACUAAACACCUAAGCCUAUCAUAGUAAAACUGCUGAAAACCCAAAUUGAAGAUACGAUCAAAAAGCAGCCAGAGGAAAAAAUUUCUAGAGCCUGGGAAGUUCAAGAUCAAGGAGCCGGCAUCUGGUGUUUGUCAAAGGCCUUAUUGUUGCCUCCUCCAGAGGUGAAGAAUGUUGUGUCUUUACAUGGCAGAAGGCAGAAGGUCAAUGACUGUCUUCAUCAAGCCCUUUUAUAAUGGCAUUAAUUUAUUCAUGAGGACAGAGCCCUCAUAACCUAAACAUCUCCCCAAAGACCCAACCUCCCAACAGUUGCACUGGGGAUUAAGUUUCUAAUAUGUGGAUUUUGGGAGACACAUUCAGAAUAUAGCAUUUUGCUUCUGGACUCUCAAAAUUCACGUCCUUCUUACAUGCAAAAUACAUUCAUUCUAUCCCCAAAGCACCCAAAGUCUUAACUCAUUCCAGUAUCAACUCAAAAGCCUAAAAUCCAGAGUCUUAUCUAAAUUAAAUACGGGUGAGACUCAAGACACGAUGCAUCCUGAGGCAAACUUCCCUCCAUCUGUGAGGCUGUGAAAUCAAACAAGUUAUGCAUUUCUAAAAUAUAGUGGUGGGAUAGGCACAGGUUAUACAAUUCUAUCACAAAAGGGAGAAAUAGGAAAGGAGAAAAGAGUAGUGGGUCCCAAGUAGGUCCAAAACCCAAAAGGACGAACAUCAUUAAAUCUUAAGGCCGGAGAGUUAUCUUCUUUGACUUUAUAUCCCACCUUCCAGACUUACUGGGGCAGAGGUUGGGUGUCCAAGGCUCCCCAAAACCCUACCCCCAUGGUUCUCAUGGUUUGGAGUCAGAUGCCUGUAACUACGUCAGGCUGAUGUGGAAUACUGGUAACUCUACAAGUCUGAGACCUCAGGGGCAGCCCUGUUUCCAUGGCUCCAUUAGGCAUCGCCCUAGUGGGAACUCUCUGUGAGAGACCUGCCUCUUUGACAGGUGUCUGCCUGGGCCCUGAGGCUGUCUAAGACAUCCUUUGAAAUCUAGGUGGAGGAAGCCGUGCCUCCACAGCUUUUACACUUUGUAUGCCUGCAGAAUUAGUACCACAGGGAUGCUGCCAAGGCUUACCACAUGUGCCCUCUGGACCAGUGGUUUGAGUUACACUGGGGCCUGCUUGAGCCACAGCUGGGGUGGGCCAAGGAGUACUGCACUAUAAUGUGGAGAGCACAGACCUGAGGUGACCCUUGGCAGUGAGCCCUGAGGUCUUGCAGGUACCCUGGGCCCCUUAAUGAAAAUCAUUCUACUCCAAAGGGCCUAGUACUCUGAGCCUGUGGUGAAAAGGAUAGCUUAGAAGAUCCCUGAAAUGUCUUCAGGAUCACUCUCUCAUAGUCUUGGUGAACAAAAUCUGGCUUCUUUCUAUUCAUACUAAUCUCCUUAUCAAAAAGUUGUUGGCCAUGCUCUUAGUUUUCUCUACUAAUCACACUUUUAAAUUCUUGAUAUGGCCAGGCUGAGAAUUUUCCAAAUCUUUACAUUCUGCUUUCCUUUUAAUUAUAAGGUUUGUCUUCAAAUAAUUUCUUAUGGCGUUUUACUAUAAACAGUUAAGAGAAGCCAUGCAGUGUCCUGAACAAUCUGCUCCUUAGAGCUUUUUUCUGCCAAAUAUCUCACUUCCUUGCUCUUAAGUUCUGCUUUCCAUAAAGUCCCGGGACAUAGACAAUUUAGCCCAGUUCUUUGCCACUUUAAAAUAAAGAUGACCUUUUCUUCAGUUUCUGGCACAUUGUUCCUCCUUUCCACCUGAGACUUCAUCAGAACAGUCUUUAUUGCCCACAUUUCUAGCAACAUUCUGUUCGCAAUCAUUUAUGUAAUUUCUAAGAAGAGUGAAGCUUUCUCUAUAGCUCUUCUCCUUCUGAGCCCUCACCAGAAUCACUCUUAAUGCUGUAUUCAUGUUAAUACAGACUUUUUUCCAGGAUUCACUUCAAAACUGUUCCAGCCUCUACCUAUUACCCAGUUCAAAAACAGCUUCCAGAUUUUAAAGUAUUUGUUAUAGCAACAUCCCAUUCCUCUGGUACCAAUUUUUGUCUUAGUACUUUUGUGCUGCUAAAACGGAAUAUCUGAGACUGGGUAGUUUAUAAAGAACAUAAAUUUAUUUCUCACAGUUCUGGAGGCCAGGAAGUCCAAGAAGGCAUUGGCAUCUGGUGCCUGGUGAGAGCCUUCUUGCUGCAUUCUCUGGAGGGGAAAAAUGUUCUGUCAUCACAUGGUAGAAGGUGGAAGUCCAACAGAGCAAGCUCCCCCAAUCAAACCCUUUUAUAACAGCAUUAAUGCAUUCAUAAGGGCAGAGUCUUUAUAACUUAAACACUUCCAAAACAUCCUACCUCCUAACACUGUUGCAUUGUUGGAUUAAAUUUCCAACACAUGCAUUUUGGAGGACACAUUUAGACCAAAGCACUAUUGAUAUACGUGUCUAUCAUUAAGCCAGGAUCAUUCUGUCUUUAUUAAUGUAGAUUUAUCGUAAAUUUUUUAAUGUGGUAGUUUAACGUCUCUCACAUUUUUCUUCACUUUCAAAAUCAUUUAGGCUAUUCUUGGUACAUUGCAUUUCCAUAUGGGACUUAGCAUCAGCUUGUUAAUUUUUCCAAUAAGGCUGCUCAAAUUUUUACAGAGAUUUCAUCAACUCUAUAAGGCACUACAGGAAAACAUCCAUUUUAACAAUAUUGAGCCUCCAAUCUAUGAACAUGAAUUUUCUAUUUAUCUUAGAUUUUUCUAAUUUCUCUCAUCGAUAAUUGGUAGCUUUCAGUGUAACUUACUUGUGCACUUUUAAAAAUCAAAUAAUUUUUUGUUGUGGUAAAAAUAUACAUAACUUAAAAUUUAUUAUUGCCACAAUUUUAAGUGUACAGUUUGGUGGCAUUAAGUACAUUCACAUUAUUGUACAACCAUCACCAGCAAGCAUCUGUAGAACUUUUUCAUCUUCUCCAACCAAAACUUUAUACAAAUUAAUCAUUAGGUCCCCAUUCCACAGCAUUUUCCACCUACAGCCUCUGGCAACCACCAUCUUACUUUCUAUCUCCAUGUAUUUGACCACUAUAGGUACCUCACAUAAGUGGAAUCUUACAAUAUUUUUUUAACUGACUAAUUUCCCUCAACAUAAUGUCUUCAGGGUUCUUUCAUGUCUUGGCAUGUGUAAGAAUUUCCCACCCUUUUAAGGGUUAAUAGCAUCCCAUUGUAUGUAUAUGUUAAAUUUUAUGUAAUCAUUCUUUCAUCUAUGAAUAUGGUUUGCAUCGUCUUUGUAGCUAUUAUGAAUAAGGCUGUUAUGAAUAUGGGUAUAAAAAUAUUGCACACUUUAAAAAUUAAAUUUAAACCUACUUAUGCAUCAUUACUUUAUUCUUUUUUAUGGCUGUAUAUUAUUUCAUUGUGUGGUUAUGUAACAUUUUGUUUAUCCAUUCAUUCAUUGAGGGGCAUUUGUUUUCUUACCCACUUUUUGACUAUUAUUAAAAUGCUGCCAUGAACAUUUGUGUACAGAUUUUUGGGUGAAUGUAUGUCCUCAUUUUCUUGGACAUAUAAUUAGGAGUAGAGUUGCUGAGCCAUAUGAUGACUCUAUGUUUAGCUUUUUGAAGAAUGCCAAUUUUUUUUUACAGCAGCUGAGUCAUUUUACAUUUCCACUACCAAUACAUGACGGCUGCAAUUUAUCCACGCCAUUUAUAACACAUUUUAUUGUAUAUCUUUUUGGUUAUAGCCAUCCUAGUUGUGUGAAGUUCAUUGUUUCAUUGCUGUCUUGAUUUGUGCUUCAUUAGUGGCUAAUAUUCUGGAGCAUCUUUUCAUAUGCUUAUGGCCAUUUUAUGUACUCUUUAGAGAAAUAUCUAUUCAAAUGUUUUGCCCAUUAUAAAAUGGGAUAUUUAUGUCUUUAUAAUUGAAUUAUAUUUUUUAUAUAUUACAGAUACAAAUCCCUUAUCAGAUGCUUGCAAAUAUUUUGUCCCAUUCUGUAUAUUGUCCUUUCGUUUGAUGGAAUUGUUUGUAGCAGAAAGUUUUAAGUUGUGAUGAAGUCAAACAUUUAUUUUUUUCUUUUGUUGCUUAUGCUUUUGGUGUCAUUAUCUAUAAAGUCUUUGCUUACCUCAAGAGCAUGUGGAUUAACUCCUACGGUUUCUUCUAAGAAUUUUCUAGUUUUAGCUUUUACAUUAGGUCCAUGAUCGAGUUUUAGUUAAUUUUCGUGUAUGGUUUAAGAAAGGGGUACAACUUUAUUUUUUUGCAUGUGGAUAUCCAGUUAUUUCAUUGCCAUUUGUUGAAUAAAUUAUUCUUUCCCCUAUUGCACUAUCUUGGAACCUUACUGAAACUCAAUUGACCAUACUGAAAGUGUGUAUUUAUGGAUUCUCAAUUUUGUCUCAACUAUCACGUAUCUAUCCUUAUGCUAGUACGUCUUGAUCCCUGCAGCUCUGUAGCAAGUUUUGAAAUUGUAAAUGGCAUCCUCAAACAUUUUCUCCAUAUUAUCUCUUGAAUUUCCAUAUGAAUUUUAGGAUUAGCUAGUAAAUAUUUGCAAGCAAAAACUUCCAAACAGCUGGGAUUUUAAUAGAAAUUUUGCUGAAUCUAUAGAUUAAUUCGGGGGAGGUCAGUGCCAC
RNAcentral lists this long non-coding RNA (4665 nucleotides) under Homo sapiens (human). RNAcentral's name for it is "HSALNT0285286". Lineage: Eukaryota; Metazoa; Chordata; Mammalia; Primates; Hominidae. The record is from RNAcentral.